RNAcentral lists this transfer RNA (76 nucleotides) under Acidobacteriota bacterium. Its description in RNAcentral is "tRNA-Arg". It matches the Rfam family "tRNA". Rfam says of the family: Transfer RNA (tRNA) molecules are approximately 80 nucleotides in length. The record is from RNAcentral. Lineage: Bacteria; Pseudomonadati; Acidobacteriota.
CACGCCGAAGCUCAAGAGGAUGAGCGGUCGUCUCCUACACGACAGGCUGUGAGUUCGAGUCUCACGGGCGUGACCA